Molecule: ribosomal RNA, 1630 nt
Filed under: metagenome
Description: bacterial LSU rRNA
Rfam family: Bacterial large subunit ribosomal RNA
Source: RNAcentral
UCGGUGACGACUGCUGGAGCGUUUAGAAAAGAAAAUGUAGGCAUAAGUAACGAUAAAUAAAGUGAAAAACUUUAUCGCCGUAAGACUAAGGGUUCCUGAUCAAUGUUAAUCAGAUCAGGGUUAGUCGGGUCCUUAGGCAAACCCGAAAGGGGUAGCUGAUGGCAAGUUAGUUAAUAUUCUAACACCAGUUUUAGUUUCGAUGGGGUGACGGGGUAGUGAAAGGUCCGCGAGCAAACGGUAUGUCUCGUUAAAGGGUGUAGAUAUAGGUUGUGUAGGUAAAUCCGCACGACUUGUCGAACCUGAUAGUACAGCAAUGCUUCGGCAACGCUGAUAGUGAUCCUAAUCAAACCUCCAAGAAAAACCUCUAAGGCUAGGCUAAAACUGCCCGUACCGUAAACCGACACAGGUAGUCGAGAUGAGUAUUCUAAGGCGCUCGGGUGAGCCGCGGAGAAGGAACUAGGCAAAUUAACGCUGUAACUUCGGGAUAAAGCGUACCGUCUUUGACGGUCUCAGUAAAUUGGUUCAACCAACUGUUUAGCAAAAACACAGGGCCCUGCAAAAUCGUAAGAUGACGUAUAGAGCCUGAUACCUGCCCGGUGCUGGAAGGUUAAGGAAGGAUGUUCGGCGCAAGCCAAAGCUUUCGACUGAAGCCCCAGUAAACGGCGGCCGUAACAAUAACGGUCCUAAGGUAGCGAAAUUCCUUGUCGGGUAAGUUCCGACCUGCACGAAUGGUCUAAUGAGUUGAACACUGUCUCCUCCGCGAGCCCGGUGAAAUUGUAGUAUCGGUGAAGAUGCCGGUUACCCGCCACGGGACGAAAAGACCCCGUGAACCUUCACUACAGCUUUGCAUUGAUUUUGAGUAACAGAUGUGUAGAAUAGUUGGGACGCUACGAAGCCAUGCCGCCAGGUGUGGUGGAGCGGUCGUUGAAAUACCAACCUUCUGUUACUUAGAGUCUAAUCCCGAAAGGGAGACAUUGCAUGGUGGGUAGUUUGACUGGGGUGGUCGCCUCCUAAAAAGUAACGGAGGCUCGCAAAGGUGCCCUCAGCAUGGUUGGUAAUCAUGCGUAGAGCGUAUUAGUAUAAGGGCGCUUGACUGUGAGACUGACAAGUCGAGCAGGUGCGAAAGCAGGCUAAAGUGAUCCGGUGGUUCCGCAUGGAAGGGCCAUCGCUCAAAGGAUAAAAGGUACUCCGGGAUAACAGGCUGAUCUCCCCCAAGAGCUCAUAUCGACGGGGAGGUUUGGCACCUCGUUGUCGGUUCGUCACAUCCUGGGGCUGGAGAAGGUCCCAAGGGUUCGGCUGUUCGCCGAUUAAAGUGGCACGUGAACUGGGUUCAGAACGUCGCAAGACAGUUCGGUCUCUAUCUGUGGUGGGCGUUAGUAAAUUGAGAAGACAUGACCUUAGUACGAGAGGACCGGGUCGUACACACCGCUGGUGUAUCUGUUGUGCCGCCAGGUGCAGUGCAGAGUAGCUAUGUGUGGCAAGGAUAAGCGCUGAAAGCAUCUAAGCGCGAAACCUUCUUCAAGAUGAGUUUACUUUUAAGGGUCGUAGUAGACGACUACGUUGAUAGGCUAUAGGUGUAAAGCUAGUAAUAGCAAAGCCGAGUAGUACUAAUUGCCCGUAAGCUUUUGUA